This is a non-coding RNA of Podarcis lilfordi (Lilford's wall lizard), 308 nucleotides long. NCBI's taxonomy places the organism in Eukaryota, Metazoa, Chordata, Lepidosauria, Squamata, Lacertidae. The record is from the annotation of a GenBank genome assembly.
GGAUGUGAGGGCGAUCUGGCUGCGACAUCUGUCACCCCAUUGAUCGCCAGGGUUGAUUCGGCUGAUCUGGCUGGCUAGGCGGGUGUCCCCUUCCUCCCUCACCGCUCCAUGUGCGUCCCUCCCAAAGCUGCGCGCUCGGUGGAAGAGGACGACCAUCCCAGAUAGAAGGAGUGUACCGUUCUUCGGUCAAGGGUAUACGAUAGCUGCGCUCCUCUGCUAGAACCUCCAAACAAGCUCAAGAGUGAGCAAGCUCGUGAUGGAUUGAAGAUUGUACUGAUUCCAUUUUCAUUUUGGAAAAAAGGGUUAGU